CCUGCUGUGACAGGCUCAGUUCUCUCGGAGAUGCUUCUGCCUCUGCUUCCCAGAGUCAGGCACAGCCCGGCCGCACUCAAGGUCACCAGGGGUCAGGACUGGAGCCCGGCCUUCCCGUGCCCCAGUGCUCUCGCCUCCCUCCUGGAAGGGGGACGUGUGGUGCUGAGGUUCUGCCCCAACUGCUUGCUGGCGUAGCUCAAGGGAGGACAGACUUGGCCUUGGUCCCGAGAGACACGGAGGAUGUGUCUCAGGGUCCUGGGGCCCGCGGCCACCCCCAGUGCCCCCACCACCUUCCAGAAGACUCCCCAGGGCGCAACCAGCCAGGAAGCACCCAGGACAGGGGACACCGAGGCCUGGGCCGGGCCCUGUCCCCAGCAGCAGCACCUCCUCACAGAGCACCCGACACUGUGGUCACCUCGCGUGUAAACCUCUCCAGGCUCCAUUGCUCCCAGGGUGAGGCCAGGCUCCCCAGCCGUGGCCCUGCCCGGUGUCCAGGUGACCUGGGACAAGGUGGCUUUGCACACGCUGCUCUGUCUCUGUCCCCUGCACCCUUCCCUCCUCCCCCGCCUCGUUUCUACCUGGAGCAGGUGGGCUCUGCUCCUCCCCUUCACCUGGGUGCAGGUGGAUCCUUCAAACCUCACCUCCCAGCUCCCUGGAUGCCCAGAGGGGACCGAGGGACAAGCCCCCCACACCUGUCUGUCUGUCUCUCUCCUCCCUCCCUCCUUCCCCACCUCAGGCAGCGUCUGCUUGGUGAAUCCUCAUGUCUGUGGUCCCAGCUUAGGAGCCGGCUCCUCUUCCUCUGUCCAGCCCACCCAGGGCGGCAGCAGCUUUGUGUCAUUCUUUCACCUUUUCAUCCUAGGCACUGAAUCCAGGACCUUUGCACUGAGUUACAUCUACAGCCCUUUUUUAUUUGGAGACAGGGUCUCAUGAGUCACUAAGUUGCCCAGGCUGGGCUUGAGUCAGUGAUCCUCCUGCCUCAGCCUCCCAGAGUGCUGGGAUCACAGGUGACUGAGUACACUGCUCAGAGAAGCUCCCCAUUCAUUCAUUGCACUGAGAUUCUUCAGCGUCUGGUGGCACCAGAUGGGCAGAUGGUGGCGGCCGGGAGUGAGGAUGACGGUGGGCAGAUGGAUGGAAAGAUAGGUGGCUGGGCCUGGCCACUGGAGCUCCCCUUUGGGCUGCUCCGAGCACAGGGCCAGCUGGUGCGGCGAGGGCAUCUACAGUUCCACCUGUUAGGGAGGCUGUAGCAGGAGCAUCACUCGAGCUCAGGAGUCUCAAGCCAGCCUGGAUAACAGACUAAGAGUUUAUCUCAACAGCAUUUUAAAAAUUAA
This 1328-nucleotide long non-coding RNA is filed under the name Heterocephalus glaber (naked mole-rat). RNAcentral describes it as "lncRNA (ENSHGLG00100047448.1)". Lineage: Eukaryota; Metazoa; Chordata; Mammalia; Rodentia; Bathyergidae. The record is from RNAcentral.